This is a long non-coding RNA of Gallus gallus (chicken), 735 nucleotides long. Lineage: Eukaryota; Metazoa; Chordata; Aves; Galliformes; Phasianidae. The record is from Ensembl.
GAAAAAGUACAUUUGUUAAUUGUUCCGUUUCCAUGGCACCGAAGUCUUCAGGCUUUUUAUCUCUUGUUUUGACAAGCUGUCUUUGUACUGAAAGACCAUAGAGAUCAUAAGCGGGUUUUAUGCUGAAUGCUUUUGUGCUAUCAGCUCCUUUGUGAUCUGCAAAUGGCAAAUACACAGGCAGCAGGACUGCCAGACAUAAGGACCUGCUAGUCUAUCACUCUCCUUCAUGCCACAGAAAUGAGCUGAGAAACGGGCUGUAUAAAUGACAGGGAGGUGUAGGGCAGAGGCUGAAGUGAGUGAGUUCUCCUUUUGUGCUGACUGCUUCAAGAGGAGCUGAACGGAAUCCUGGAGCUUACAUCUGACUGAUGCAGAAGCACUCAGUGGGCACUGAAGAGAUGUGUACUGCUGUAUUUAGUGUGGCUCUGAUCUUGAACAUGAAGAUGAAAAAAAUUAAGAAGAAAAUUAAGAAGGAAAAUUCAUGCUCAUCAAAACCCAUGGAGAAUCUUCAGUACAUGUUAAACAGCUCCUCACUGCUCUGUAAAACCAGGCUGCGUUCCCUGCAGUGCAAGAGGAAAACAAUGCCACUAUCAAUAAUCUACAGAAGCACUUCUACCAGAUACCUCUGUUUUCAGGAAAAAUUCCAUUUGUCCAGCACUUCUGGCUAGUGUAGCUAUGAGUUAAUAUAUCUUUUUUACCUUAAAAAAAAAAAAAAAAAUUGAUCAAGGCCAAUCUCAG